UCGGCUCUCCGCCCACUGUGAACAUACCUACCUUCCCCCGGCGGGCCAAGCGCGCGGCGGCUCCGGCCGCCCGCGUCCGCCGAGGGCAUCUCAAACCCGAAUUUAUUGGUGUCUUCUGAGGGGCGAAAGCCCGUAAAACAAAAUGAAUCAAAACUUUCAACAACGGAUCUCUUGGCUCUGGCAUCGAUGAACAACGCAGGGUGUGCGAUAAGUAAUGUGAAUUGCAGAAUUCAGUGAAUCAUCGAAUCUUUGAACGCACAUUGCGCCCGCCAGUACUCUGGCGGGCAUGCCUGUCCGAGCGUCAUUUCAACCCUCGGGACCCCCCUCCGGGGCGGGACCCGGCGCUGGGGAUCGGAGGCCGCACCGGCCCCAGUCCCCCAAAUACAGUGGCGGUCGCGCCGCAGCCUCCCCUGCGUAGUAGCACACCUCGCACCGGAGAGCGGCUCGGCCACGCCGUGAAACACCCCACUUUACCAAGGUUGACCUCGGAUCAGGUAGGAAUACCCGCUGAACUUAA
RNAcentral lists this unclassified non-coding RNA (517 nucleotides) under Sarocladium glaucum. RNAcentral describes it as "sequence contains 18S rRNA gene, ITS1, 5.8S rRNA gene and ITS2". The stretch from base 152 to 304 matches the Rfam family "5.8S ribosomal RNA". Lineage: Eukaryota; Fungi; Ascomycota; Sordariomycetes; Hypocreales; Sarocladiaceae. The record is from RNAcentral.